GAUAUACUCCCUCCGUCCGAAAAUACUUGUCCUAAAAAUAAAUAUAUUGGAUGUAUCUAUAACUAAAAUAAGUCUAGAUUCAUCCAUUCCUAGGACAAGUAUUUCCGGACGGAGGGAGUACUAU
Molecule: non-coding RNA, 124 nt
Organism: Hordeum vulgare subsp. vulgare (domesticated barley)
Lineage: Eukaryota; Viridiplantae; Streptophyta; Magnoliopsida; Poales; Poaceae
Source: Rfam